This 253-nucleotide unclassified non-coding RNA is filed under the name uncultured Parcubacteria group bacterium. RNAcentral's name for it is "contains 16S-23S intergenic spacer region". It matches the Rfam family "Bacterial small subunit ribosomal RNA", at positions 524 to 776 of the family's 1533-position model. The record is from RNAcentral.
UACAGAGGCCCCGAGCGUUGUCCGGAAUUAUUGGGCGUAAAGCGUCCGCAGGCGGAAUGGCAAGUCUACUGUUAAAACCGACAGCUCAACUGUCGAGAUGCAGUGGAGACUGCCAUUCUUGAGGCAGGUAGAGGUAAGCGGAACUCAUAGUGGAGCGGUGAAAUGCGUUGAUAUUAUGGGGAACACCAAUUGCGAAGGCAGCUUACUGGACCUGUCCUGACGCUCAUGGACGACAGCGUAGGGAGUGAACGGG